This 4704-nucleotide long non-coding RNA is filed under the name Capsicum annuum. RNAcentral's name for it is "long non-coding RNA (CANN_LNC002794)". The record is from RNAcentral. Lineage: Eukaryota; Viridiplantae; Streptophyta; Magnoliopsida; Solanales; Solanaceae.
UCCCAAAGACCUGAUAAGGUGGGUACUAGAGCUACUACUAAAAAAUAUCCAGAGUACUAGACAAAAUUUAAAAUAUACACAAUUUUUACAAACAGUCUCUAGUACAAAACACUAAACUGGAAUAGAUAGAGGAGGAUCAUCCUCGGACGAUAGUAUGCUACCCGACUCCAAAUCAGUACUGAAAAGUAGAAACUACAUCAACGUCAGCUGCUAAUACUCAGAUCUGCAUCAGGAAAAAGAUGAAGAAAUGUAGCAUGAGUACUAAAGCAAUGUGUAAUCAAUAGGCAUCAUUGAUCGACUGAGCUCAAUACAUAAAAAAUAUAACUAAAAUGCGAUGGUGUAAUCUAAGUCAAUAGUAAACAGGGAUAGACAGGUAAACAACUACCAAGCUACGCAAAUGUGAUAAAGGAAUAAAUAUAAGGGAUAUAGAAAAUAAAUAAUAAGGUAAUAAUAGACAAAUCAAACAUAACCUAAUUGGGUCCCCAUAAGCCUUCUAGGCACACUGAAGAAGACAAUUAACCAAUCGUACCCCCAUAAGCAACUGGGAUCCACAAAAAGUAAUUAAUAAAAAUAAACAUAAAUAAUCUGUAACUGAUCACCAUCCCACAAAAUCAUAGUAGCCAUCUAGAUAUGCAUCAGACUUGAACCGACAUCAAUGGGUAGUGACAAGAGGCUAGAUGUCGGGCUUGAAUUGACAAUGAUGUAUAAUAACGAAAGGCCACAUGCCACAUUCAAACUGAAAAUAGUGGGUAGUAAUAAAAGGCCACAUAUAUUAUGUACAACAGAACUCAUAAUCAGAUGCCAAACUCGAAUUGGAACUCAGAGAAACCACACUUCCAGAACAACCAUAAUCAGUACCAGAACUCCUAAAUCAUCAUAACCAGAUACCGGACUCGAACCGAAACUCAUAUUAACCAUACCCAACUGUAAUAUUAAAAUCCAAACCAUACCAUUACAAAUAUCAAAGUGGUACCAAAAUUCACAAACAAUGAUAGAAAUAAAGUACAUGCUGAACCUAUGUCAAAACUAAAAUACAUUUUAUUAACCAACCACAUAUCUUAAUUAAAAAAAGGAUAAAUUCUAGGUUUUGUAGCUUAAUUUCAUGUCCUAAAGUAACAAAUACUAAAUCAUACUGAAAGAUAAGAUACCAAAAUUUACUAGAAUGGGAUUAAAAUCGAAUAAAUAAGGCAUGGUAUAUAUAUCAAAUGGUACGCAAACUAUAAGUACUUGUCAAAACUAGUAUAAUAGUGCACAAUUACCAUAAAGACUCAAUCUAAAAGUAAAGUAAACCUAACUUACCGUGAUGCCAAGCUAAAAAGCCCCUUCGAGAAGCUUCUGAGUACUGACCUACUAGAACCCGAGUUUGAGUAUUAAAAAAAUGCCCAGUAGCAGCAACAAGUCUAAGUCAACAAAUACCGAAUUUGGUCUUUUUAAAAGGUGAGAGAAGAACGAAAGGAAAGAAACAAAUAUCAAUGUUAAAAGAAACCAGUAAAGGAAUACAUACAUUUGCUUACAUGUCUUUUCCUUACUAUAUUUCAUAUAAUGAUGUGUUGUCCAUUAUUUAUCUUGUUAAUGCUAACUAAUUCUAUGGCUGCCAACUAUUAGAACACUAAUCUACCAUAAUGCUGCCAACUAACAAUUGUAAUAUUUUGCACCUCUUCCUCCACUUUCACGUGGGAUGAAGGUGGUGCAUUCCCUAUUAUUUUUAUCCCAUUACUUAUAUAUUAUAAGUAUUGCAUAAGUUUUUGAUUAAAUAAAUAUAAUAUUUUAAUUAUAUUAUAAUUAACAAAAAAAUAUUUUUAAUAAAGCCUCGAUAUAUAAGAAUAAUAUUUUAAUAUAUUUAGAUUUAUUAUUUUUGCGUAAAAUAUUAAUAGACCAUAAAAGCUAUUAUAAAGUAAUAUAAAUAUAGCAUAACUUAACGAAUUUUAUCAAUAUUAAAAAAAUAUUUUAGAAGGGUAAUAAUGUAUUUUUAACAAAUGCCAAUUUAAAUUGAAUAUUUCACAAUAUAUUUGGUAUUACUAAAAUUCUCAAAUGAAUUGCCCGAAAAUUGGACUAUCAAUUCCAACAAGUCAUAAAUAACUUGGGACAGUUAUAGAAACGCUCUAGACACCAAAAAUGCAUGAAAAUAAUAAAAAUAACCGUGAGGAUCAUUACACCCCAAUAUAAAAAGAACUAUGGAAUAUAUAAUAGACAAGAUAGAGUACUGAAAUAUGACAGUGAUUUGCCCUGUUGUGGGAUCUAACCUUUCUCAAUUAGUUAUGAAAGGGUAUUUUCAUUGAAUUUUAGUUAUGAAAGAAUAUUGUCAUCGAAUUUGGAAAUUUGUGAGAAUAGAUGAAAGUAACAUAAGUCAACAAGGAUGUGUUCUUUGUCUGAUUCCAUUGCCAAGCAAACAGGGGAAAACAGUGGAGAGGGGAAUCUAGAUACUUAAUAGAAAACAAUAGUUAUGAAGCUAUAAAGACCAUAUAUUGAAGUCAUCGAGGAGUGAGUGGAUAAUCUUCACAUAUGAAUGAGACUGGUCGGGUUGGAUAUUAUUAGGGGAAGAAUACCCUUACAAAGAUUGCAAGUUUCAUGGGUACAUUGAUAAAGCAACUACUAAUAAUGAAAGGUUGACUUAUGCUAAAAUUCUGGUGGAGAUGCCCCGCUGAGGAGUAUUUAAAAGGGUUAAUGUUAAAAAUAAGAUGGGAAAAUCAUAAAAAACCUCAUGGAGUGUGAAUGAAACCCAGCUUUGUAUAAUAGAUGUAAACUUUAGCCAUGAGCUAAAGGAUUGAGGAAUACAACAAAGAGAUCAGGAAACAGUAAACAAAGAUAACAAAAGACCUAAAGUGUAGGAUAAAGAAAACGAAAUUAGGUGAAAGGAAUGUAAGAUGAACUAAAAAGAGAGACAAUGAACUGUAACCUUUUAGAAAACAUUACAUCCCCUUGUAGGAGAACUUUUAAUAUGGUUGGGACACCCACUACUACAACUAAUACAUAUGAAAUGUUUAAGAAAUAAAUGAGAAAAAUAAGCCGCCACUGCGAAAGGGGGAGAAUAUGUUAAGUAAAAAGAGGGGUCUGAUCUUGGACAAACCAGGGAUGAGAAUCAACCCAUGCCAAAUGGAUAAAGUAGAAUUUGAAAAUUUGAAAAGGCAAAUCAUGAUAGAAAAAUGGAAGGUUAUGCAUCUUUUCAUGCAAAAUUUGACUGUGCUGUUUGAUCUCUUGGACAAAAAGACUAAGAGAUAUAAAUCUAAUCAAACAUCUCUUAAUCUUUGUAAUAUUUGUUUUUUUUAUUACAAACCUAUAUGAAUAUUUGAGAGAGAGAAUAUGAUGGUACAGAAACUAGACAUGUUUGAUGUAAACAUUCUGUAUAAUGCAACUUAGAUGAUUCAUAGUGAAGUCACAUAAUAUUUUGGAUGAAAAUGGUGUAUGGUUAUAAUAAUCAGGGGAUUCAGAGAGAAUUAUGGAAAUAUAUGAGAGAAUGGGUAACCAAAUAAAUUGACCUUAGGUAGUCAUGGGUUAUUUCAACUGUGAUUUGAAUAUAAAGGAGUGGGUGGGGAGUCCAUUCACCUUAGCACAAAUAAGGUAUUUCAGGAACUGUGUUGGGUUUGCUGAUCUAUAGGACAUAAAAUUAUCAUGCUCCUACUUCACAUAAAAUAGAAAGUAACUUGAUAAUGCCAGAGUACAGAGAAAUUCAGAGUACUGAUCGACAGAACAAGGAACAACCAUAUGUCUAUAAUUGAAGUGCAUUUUAUGAACAAGUGUCUCUAUGAUCAUUGUCUAGUCGUAAUUCAAUGGGAGAAUGGCAAUAGAAGUGAAGAAAGCUUAUUUAGAUAUUUCAACAUAUGGAACUUGGUACCUGAAUUCUAAGAUAAGGUUAAAACUAGCUGGCACGCUAGAUAUGAAGGCAGGAAGAUAUUCCAAGUAGUAGGCAAGUUAAACAGACUUAAGGAAAGUUCUCAAGACUGAAAUGGGAGAGACUCAGUGAAGUAGAGAAUAAAGUUGAUAUAGCUAUGCGACAGAUGGCUCAGGAAAGAAUCCAAUAGAAUCCAUUGAAUGCAGACACUUUAUGAGGAAGAAAAAACAGUUGCAAAAAAAGUAGGAAUACUAUACAAGGCUAAGAUUUAGUUUCAAAGGCAAAAAAUCAAAAUGCAAUGCCUUUAAAAAGGGUAUCAAUGGCAAAACCAUAAUUUUUCCUAAAGGUGGAUGUACCGAAAUACUUCCAAACGUUAGAGAUGUCGAGUAAAUAACAUUAUUAACACCUAAAUACCUAAAAUUUCCUAUGAAAAAGUUGACACUAAUUAUAGGUCUAUUGCUUUUCCUAAUACUACACAAGGUGUUCACAAAAUUGUAGUGUAACAGGCUUAAGAAAUUUUUAUCAACUAGAGUGCCUUUGUAGCAGGUAGAACAAUAAUGCAGAAUAUCUCAUAUGUAAAUACCUAGUAAGACUCUACAAUAGAAAGAAUUCCACCAAAACCUUCUUGCUCAACGUGGACCUCUGGAAAACAUAUAACAUUGUAGAAUAGGAAUUUGUGGAAGAUAUGUAAUAUGAAUUGUAAUUUCUCUAUGAAUUUACAAAGUGGAACAUGCGUUGUAUUACCACUACUCAAUGUGUGAUAGAAUGGAUAAAUUUAUGGUAAUAUUAAAGGGAUAAGAGGACUUAGACAGUGGAAUCUUAUCUUCCCCCUCCUACUUGUGAUAUGUAUGGACUAUUCCUCUAGACUGAUAAAG